Molecule: ribosomal RNA, 452 nt
Filed under: uncultured bacterium
Lineage: Bacteria
Description: bacterial SSU rRNA
Rfam family: Bacterial small subunit ribosomal RNA
Source: RNAcentral
UUCGCAAUGCCCGAAAGGGUGACGAAGCGACGCCGCGUGUGGGAAGAAGGUCUUCGGGUUGUAAACCACUGUCGGGAGUUAGGAAAUGUAAGGGUGCUAAUAGUAUUCUUACUUGACUAAGGCUCCGGAGGAAGCCACGGCUAACUCUGUGCCAGCAGCCGCGGUGAUACAGAGGCGGCAAGCGUUGUUCGGAAUUAUUGGGCGUAAAGAGCACGUAGGCGGCCUUGUAAGUCAGUUGUGAAAGCCUUCUGCUUAACGGAAGAACAGCAGCUGAUACUGCAAGGCUAGAGUGCGGAAGGGGAGAGUGGAACUUCUGGUGGAGCGGUGAAAUGCGUAGAUAUCAGAAGGAACACCGGCGGCGAAGGCGACUCUCUGGUCCGUAACUGACGCUGAGUGUGCGAAAGCUAGGGGAGCAAACGGGAUUAGAUACCCCGGUAGUCCUAGCCGUAAAC